UAAAAUCCUGCUGUUACUAAGAUGGUUCUU
This 30-nucleotide non-coding RNA is filed under the name Rattus norvegicus (Norway rat). The record is from RNAcentral. Lineage: Eukaryota; Metazoa; Chordata; Mammalia; Rodentia; Muridae.